Molecule: ribosomal RNA, 467 nt
Filed under: uncultured bacterium
Lineage: Bacteria
Description: partial 16S ribosomal RNA
Rfam family: Bacterial small subunit ribosomal RNA
Source: RNAcentral
GACGAACGCUGGCGGCGUGCUUAACACAUGCAAGUCGAACGGAAAGGCCCCUUUCGGGGGGUACUCGAGUGGCGAACGGGUGAGUAACACGCGAGUAUCCUGCCCUUGACAUUGGGAUAAAUUCAGGAAACUGGGGCUAAUACCGGAUAGGAGCUCCUGCUGCAUGGUGGGGGUUGGAAAGUUUCGGCGGUUGGGGGUGGACUCGCGGCUUAUCAGCUUGUUGGUGGGGUAGUGGCUUACCAAGGCUUUGACGGGUAGCCGGCCUGAGAGGGUGACCGGCCACAUUGGGACUGGGAUACGGCCCAGACUCCUACGGGAGGCAGCAGUGGGGAAUAUUGCACAAUGGGUGGAAGCCUGAUGCAGCAACGCCGUGUGCGGGAUGACGGCCUUCGGGUUGUAAACCGCUUUCGCUCAUGACGAAGCUUUGUGUGACGGUAGUGGGUAAAGAAGCACCGGCUAACUACGUG